RNAcentral lists this ribosomal RNA (585 nucleotides) under uncultured microorganism. RNAcentral's name for it is "bacterial SSU rRNA". It matches the Rfam family "Bacterial small subunit ribosomal RNA", at positions 154 to 734 of the family's 1533-position model. The record is from RNAcentral.
AAACGACUGCUAAUACCGCAUACGCCCUACGGGGGAAAGGAGGGGACCUUCGGGCCUUCCGCGAUUGGNUGAACCUAGGUGGGAUUAGCUAGUUGGUGAGGUAAUGGCUCACCAAGGCGACGAUCCCUAGCUGUUCUGAGAGGAUGAUCAGCCACACUGGGACUGAGACACGGCCCAGACUCCUACGGGAGGCAGCAGUGGGGAAUAUUGCACAAUGGGGGAAACCCUGAUGCAGCCAUGCCGCGUGUGUGAAGAAGGCCUUCGGGUUGUAAAGCACUUUCAGUAGGGAGGAAAGGUAAUAGUUUAAUAAACUAUUACUGUGACGUUACCUACAGAAGAAGGACCGGCUAACUCCGUGCCAGCAGCCGCGGUAAUACGGAGGGUCCGAGCGUUAAUCGGAAUUACUGGGCGUAAAGCGUGCGCAGGCGGUUUGUUAAGCCAGAUGUGAAAUCCCCGGGCUCAACCUGGGAAUUGCAUUUGGAACUGGCGAACUAGAGUCUUGUAGAGGGGGGUAGAAUUCCAGGUGUAGCGGUGAAAUGCGUAGAUAUCUGGAGGAAUACCGGUGGCGAAGGCGGCCCCCUGGAC